RNAcentral lists this ribosomal RNA (506 nucleotides) under uncultured bacterium. Its description in RNAcentral is "partial 16S ribosomal RNA". It matches the Rfam family "Bacterial small subunit ribosomal RNA", at positions 28 to 508 of the family's 1533-position model. The record is from RNAcentral. RNAcentral also lists the same sequence under 1 other name.
GACGAACGCUGGCGGCGUGCCUAAUACAUGCAAGUAGAACGCACAGUUUAUACCGUAGCUUGCUACACCAUAAACUGUGAGUUGCGAACGGGUGAGUAACGCGUAGGUAACCUGCCUGGUAGCGGGGGAUAACUAUUGGAAACGAUAGCUAAUACCGCAUAAUAUUGAUUAUUGCAUGAUAAUUGAUUGAAAGAUGCUAUUGCAUCACUACCAGAUGGACCUGCGUUGUAUUAGCUAGUAGGUGAGGUAACGGCUCACCUAGGCGACGAUACAUAGCCGACCUGAGAGGGUGAUCGGCCACACUGGGACUGAGACACGGCCCAGACUCCUACGGGAGGCAGCAGUAGGGAAUCUUCGGCAAUGGACGAAAGUCUGACCGAGCAACGCCGCGUGAGUGAAGAAGGUUUUCGGAUCGUAAAGCUCUGUUGUAAGAGAAGAACGGGUGUGAGAGUGGAAAGUUCACACUGUGACGGUAUCUUACCAGAAAGGGACGGCUAACUACGUGC